Molecule: ribosomal RNA, 684 nt
Filed under: uncultured bacterium
Lineage: Bacteria
Description: bacterial SSU rRNA
Rfam family: Bacterial small subunit ribosomal RNA
Source: RNAcentral
UUGGUGCUUGCACCGAGCGGAGGAGUUGCGAACGGGUGAGUAACGCGUAGGUAAYCUGCCUCUUAGCGGGGGAUAACUAUUGGAAACGAUAGCUAAUACCGCAUAAAAGUCGACAUUGCAUGAUGUUGACUUGAAAGGUGCAAAUGCAUCACUAAGAGAUGGACCUGCGUUGUAUUAGCUAGUUGGUGAGGUAACGGCUCACCAAGGCGACGAUACAUAGCCGACCUGAGAGGGUGAUCGGCCACACUGGGACUGAGACACGGCCCAGACUCCUACGGGAGGCAGCAGUAGGGAAUCUUCGGCAAUGGACGGAAGUCUGACCGAGCAACGCCGCGUGAGUGAAGAAGGUUUUCGGAUCGUAAAGCUCUGUUGUAAGAGAAGAACGAGUGUGAGAGUGGAAAGUUCACACUGUGACGGUAACUUACCAGAAAGGGACGGCUAACUACGUGCCAGCAGCCGCGGUAAUACGUAGGUCCCGAGCGUUAUCCGGAUUUAUUGGGCGUAAAGCGAGCGCAGGCGGUUAGAUAAGUCUGAAGUUAAAGGCUGUGGCUUAACCAUAGUACGCUUUGGAAACUGUUUAACUUGAGUGCAGAAGGGGAGAGUGGAAUUCCAUGUGUAGCGGUGAAAUGCGUAGAUAUAUGGAGGAACACCGGUGGCGAAAGCGGCUCUCUGGUCUGUAACUGA